Molecule: long non-coding RNA, 353 nt
Organism: Eptesicus fuscus (big brown bat)
Lineage: Eukaryota; Metazoa; Chordata; Mammalia; Chiroptera; Vespertilionidae
Exons: 3
Source: RefSeq, a predicted model, not a curated record
UUCGUUGAAAAAGAGGUUGUUUCCACUAGAAAGGAUUCCACACUUCCGAGAUGGCUUUCCACCACUCAUUAAUAAGAAUCUAUCCGAUUCCAGCUGACCUGAAAAAGAAAUGUGAAAUCAUGAGUUCCAGAAAAUGAGAGCUAUGGUUGCUGAAUGAUAUUAAUACCAAUAUGAAAAAAAUGAGGAUCACACCUUCUGUUGCUGAUGGCCUCACACUUCAUGAGAAGAGUCCAUGUUAUUAUUCCCCAGUAUGUUUCCAACAAGCUCAUUCCACCUCCGACCUCCACCCGUACCCCCACUGUAGCAGUUUUCUGGUUGUGCUUGCUGAAUCCUCAGCUCUACCUGUUCCAAUG